Molecule: ribosomal RNA, 490 nt
Filed under: uncultured bacterium
Lineage: Bacteria
Description: partial 16S ribosomal RNA
Rfam family: Bacterial small subunit ribosomal RNA
Source: RNAcentral
AUUGAACGCUGGCGGCAGGCCUAACACAUGCAAGUCGAACGGUAACAGGAAACAGCUUGCUGUUUCGCUGACGAGUGGCGGACGGGUGAGUAAUGUCUGGGAAACUGCCUGAUGGAGGGGGAUAACUACUGGAAACGGUAGCUAAUACCGCAUAACGUCGCAAGACCAAAGAGGGGGACCUUCGGGCCUCUUGCCAUCGGAUGUGCCAAGAUGGGAUUAGCUAGUAGGUGGGGUAACGGCUCACCUAGGCGACGAUCCCUAGCUGGUCUGAGAGGAUGACCAGCCACACUGGAACUGAGACACGGUCCAGACUCCUACGGGAGGCAGCAGUGGGGAAUAUUGCACAAUGGGCGCAAGCCUGAUGCAGCCAUGCCGCGUGUAUGAAGAAGGCCUUCGGGUUGUAAAGUACUUUCAGCGGGGAGGAAGGGAGUAAAGUUAAUACCUUUACUCAUUGACGUUACCCGCAGAAGAAGCACCGGCUAACUCCGUG